RNAcentral lists this ribosomal RNA (242 nucleotides) under uncultured bacterium. Its description in RNAcentral is "partial 16S ribosomal RNA". It matches the Rfam family "Bacterial small subunit ribosomal RNA", at positions 109 to 334 of the family's 1533-position model. The record is from RNAcentral.
AGUAACACGUAAACAACCUGCCUUCAGGAUGGGGACAACAGACGGAAACGACCGCUAAUACCGAAUACGUUCCACGGGCCGCAUGACCUGUGGAAGAAAGGGUAGCCUCUACCUGUAAGCUAUCGCCUGAAGAGGGGUUUGCGUCUGAUUAGGCAGUUGGUGGGGUAACGGCCCACCAAACCAACGAUCAGUAGCCGGUCUGAGAGGAUGAACGGCCACACUGGAACUGAGACACGGUCCAG